Long non-coding RNA from Physeter macrocephalus (sperm whale), 724 nucleotides. RefSeq lists it as uncharacterized. The transcript has 4 exons. The record is from RefSeq and is a predicted model, not a curated record. Lineage: Eukaryota; Metazoa; Chordata; Mammalia; Artiodactyla; Physeteridae.
GGGCUCCACCGGCUGGCUUCCUCCACCUCCACCUUCACUCCCGGGGACGCUGGCGGCUCGAACCCGGACUCAGCCCGGGGAAUCUCCCCAAGAAAGGAAGGAGCACCAGCCCUGGAGUUAGAUCUGCCUUUGGAUGACUGUCCUAAUCUCUCCAGAGCCAUAUCCUCCCCUGUAAGAGAAGAGCCACCAGACAUCACCGACUUGGCCAGUAGAGCAGCCAUAUUGUAAGGACACUCAAGCUGCCCUAUGAAGAAGCCCACAUGGCAAGGAACUGACACAACAAAACCUUGGCAGGUACCUCCAGCCACAUACACCUGCAGCCCCAGCUGCUCCCAGAUUCUGACCCAAAGAAACCGAGAUGGGUCUCAAGCUGCCUGGAGCCCAACACGCAAGGCCUGGACAUGUCCCUGACUUCCUACCCCCCAGAGACCAUUCCACCCACCCAUGGUCAACACCCAGCUCUCCUGGGCUGGCUUUUCCACCUGCCCAAGCCAAGGCCCUUCACGCAGAACGCGGUGGGGGGCGGGGGCACAAACCCACCGGCUGCAACUGUUCCAAAGGACAGGCGGGCUCCGCAAAUGAGCCGAUCCUACGGGGGAGUCCCCCAAUGAUGCAGGAAAGCCGGUCCUGGCUGAAAGCCCCCAAAGGGAGCAGUGAAUUUAGCGCAAAGAAAAGGACUUAAAUGACACAGAGCACGCUUGUACAUCGUAUCUAAGAGGUGGUC